CAUUUUUUAAUUUCUGAUUAAAAUGUUGACAAAUAUUACACAUGCGGUG
This 49-nucleotide non-coding RNA is filed under the name Plasmodium falciparum 3D7. The record is from RNAcentral. Lineage: Eukaryota; Apicomplexa; Aconoidasida; Haemosporida; Plasmodiidae.